RNAcentral lists this ribosomal RNA (756 nucleotides) under uncultured bacterium. RNAcentral's name for it is "bacterial SSU rRNA". It matches the Rfam family "Bacterial small subunit ribosomal RNA", at positions 135 to 885 of the family's 1533-position model. The record is from RNAcentral.
UUAUGGCCCCAAUGAAUUUACCGCCCAANGCUUUGGGUNCCNGAAGCUUGGGAUCCCACUAAGUAACCGGCCCGCCCAGUGUUGCUUGGAAAUUUCGCCCUUUCGCGGCCUUAUCAGCUUGUUUGNUGGGGUAAAUGGCCUUACCAAGGCGGGNGACGGAUAUCCGGCCUGAGAGGGUGUACGNACACAUUGGGACUGAGAUACGGCCCCAGACUCCUUACGGGAGGCAGCAGUGGGGAAUAUUGCACAAUGGGCGCAAGCCUUGAUGCAGCGACGUCGCGUGGGGGAUGAAGGCCUUCGGGUUGUAAACUCCUUUCGCUAUCGACGAAGCCUUCGGGUGACGGUAGGUAGAUAAGAAGCACCGGCUAACUACGUGCCAGCAGCCGCGGUAAUACGUAGGGUGCAAGCGUUGUCCGGAAUUACUGGGCGUAAAGAGCUCGUAGGUGGUUUGUCGCGUCGUCUGUGAAAUCCCGGGGCUUAACCUCGGGCGUGCAGGCGAUACGGGCAUAACUUGAGUGCUGUAGGGGAGACUGGAAUUCCUGGUGUAGCGGUGAAAUGCGCAGAUAUCAGGAGGAACACCGAUGGCGAAGGCAGGUCUCUGGGCAGUAACUGACGCUGAGGAGCGAAAGCAUGGGUAGCGAACAGGAUUAGAUACCCUGGUAGUCCAUGCCGUAAACGGUGGGCGCUAGGUGUAGGGGGCUUCCACGUCUUCUGUGCCGUAGCUAACGCAUUAAGCGCCCCGCCUGGGGAGUACGG